UUAACCGAAUAGGGGAGCCGGAGGGAAACCGAGUCUUAACCGGGCGUUAAGUUGCAGGGUAUAGACCCGAAACCCGGUGAUCUAGCCAUGGGCAGGUUGAAGGUUGGGUAACACUAACUGGAGGACCGAACCGACUAAUGUUGAAAAAUUAGCGGAUGACCUGUGGCUGGGGGUGAAAGGCCAAUCAAACCGGGAGAUAGCUGGUUCUCCCCGAAAGCUAUUUAGGUAGCGCCUCGUGAAUUCAUCUCCGGGGGUAGAGCA
RNAcentral lists this ribosomal RNA (261 nucleotides) under Salmonella enterica subsp. enterica serovar Kentucky. Its description in RNAcentral is "partial 23S ribosomal RNA". It matches the Rfam family "Bacterial large subunit ribosomal RNA", at positions 646 to 909 of the family's 2925-position model. The record is from RNAcentral. Lineage: Bacteria; Pseudomonadati; Pseudomonadota; Gammaproteobacteria; Enterobacterales; Enterobacteriaceae.